RNAcentral lists this microRNA precursor (103 nucleotides) under Marmota monax (woodchuck). The record is from RNAcentral. Lineage: Eukaryota; Metazoa; Chordata; Mammalia; Rodentia; Sciuridae.
AGUGGGAUAGCUGGAUCAAAUGGUGGUUUCACUCUCAGAUUUCCAAGGAAUCUCCAUACUGCUUUCCAGAUUGGCUACACCAAUUUGCAGUCCCACCAGCAAU